UAGAGGAAAAGCUGGGCCGGAAAAGUGGGAACCUCUAGGGCGCCGCCCUGUUGCUACUGGUCAAUGUGGCCAGCGCAAUUACUAUUGAAAAAGCUGAGAACAAGUACAGUUCACCUUAUGCUUUGUCAUCUAAAAACGCAUACCUGAUGGCUUUAUGAAGGCGGUACGUUAAUAUUAAGUUUACAGAAAGCGAUCGCUAAGUCCGUGACUUAUGAAAAUCACGAUGUACGCAUUCAUGCAAUAAAAGAUGACGCGAAUUUCGGUUUCGAAUCUGUUUUUUGGAUGCGUAGUAGUUUCGUUUGACAUGCGAUCGCGCGUCGACAUCGGACGCUAUGGCACACUCGUGCCUUAUGUGCCACCGAAGCCCCGAAGUGGUCUGGCAUAUACCUUCACAUGUAAGUAAACGAAUGUAUCUCCUUGUUGAGAAUAUCACGCGAGUAGGCAGCUCUUGUGGUACAUCACAAUCGUUUGAGAAGCGUCACAGUAGAGCAUUUUUCUGCAUCCGGAGCGGUGUUUUUAUUUGCAGGUUUCCCUUCAGUAGGAAAUUGCUGGACAGGCGGACCAGCGCACCGGAAUUGUACUGGCGAAGCCACAAGCAACUCAAAGAAUCUGUUUAAUUGUUGCACUUUGAACAAUCAUGCUUCUACAAAGGCCACAGCAGAUCAACAGCCUGAUGCCGAGUAUUUCUGUGCCACGAAGUAAUCAAGAGGCGAGUGCCUAGUGCGGACGAAAUCGAGUGCAUCGAGACUUAGAACGACAGAAAGCUGAGCUAGUUGACAAUGCCUACGCCUAGCCACAGCAGCUCCCUCAUACAGACUCCACAAACCAAGAGGCCAUGGAGGCAAAUGCAGGUAAGAGACAAUAAGCAAUAGCACUGGUAUCGACAUUCAUCUAAUUUCUUUUUAUUUCAUUUAGGCAGCCAGCACACCUCGAACAGCCACCUUGACUGCGGGUGUGUCACCCUAGUCGCCAAGGAAACAUUUGAGGGAAGUGACAGGCAAUGUGAACAGCCACUUCUCCAUGUAAACAAUACUCUUUCUCUCGGAUGACUCCUACGCCUCGCCACGCCAGCACACUUGUGCACAAAGAUGCCGCAGAGGCACGUGCAGGUCAGAGGCAAGAAGCAGUGGCACUGGUGUCGACAUUUACCCAAUUUCUUUUUCUUGCACUGAGGCAGCCAGCACACCUCGAACAGCCACCUUGACUGCGGCUGUGUCAGUAGAUUCCUGUUGUACAUAUGCUCAUAAUAAACUUCAGUAAACCUGAACUUCAUAAUAAACUUGAAGGCAAAUGGGA
Dermacentor albipictus is the source of this 1296-nucleotide non-coding RNA. Lineage: Eukaryota; Metazoa; Arthropoda; Arachnida; Ixodida; Ixodidae. The record is from RefSeq and is a predicted model, not a curated record.